CUGUUCUUAUGUCUGCAGUAACCCAUGUCAUUAUAAGCUACACACCCGUUUUUGCCCUUUACUGUCAAACAGAAAUACGGUAGGCCUAAUACAGCACAUAGAGUACAGUCCAUACAAGACAGGGCAUUAUCAACACUGUCAUUAAACACAGCCUCCGCUGUCAUUUCAAUGAGACCACUGCAAUGGCACUGCAGGGGGUGCAGACAUGGUGACAACAACGAAACAACAAGGUUGUCCAGUAAAGGUUGAACGUAGGUCAACUUUAGCAGCAAUGCAAUAUCAUCCGGCAACACACAGAGCGGGCCAGUCUAACUCUCUGUAGAGUACAAUGAACAGCAUUAUUUUGCCGUUUACCUCGUAAUAGAUUUGAAAGUGACUGCUGCUGUAAUAACAUUCUCAUAAUAUUCUAAACUGACUGACGUCAGAACAAAAUAGUUACUGACAUGCUGGAUCAUGUCUUCUCACUAAUAUCUAGAGCCGCAAACAGUGCAGGUUGUAGUGGGAACGCAGCCUAAUCGAGGCCAAGAUUUCAUGGUGGUGGGAUUCCAAAUUGAGACCACACUUUCUUGAACCUUGUAUCUUGUGUUGCUCCUUAACUCCCUGGUGUCCCCCACGUUAAAAAAAAACAAAAAAAACAAACACCUGUAGCAAUGCAGAUACUUUGUUUUAUUUGGUGAGAUUGGCUCUGCUAUGGUGUUAUGUUGAAGUUAUGGUAAAUAUGUUGAUGUAGUCGACAGUUGGCGGGUUUCUGCAAUGUUGCGGAAAAUAGAGGCUGGGUUAUACGUUUCUAAUUAUGCUACAGGGGAAAAAUAGCACAAACAGCACAACUAUGAAUUGGCUGAUACAAUUUGGGAUCAUCUAGUAUGGAUUAAGUAUAGCUAGAACUAAGAAAAAUAACCAUUGUAAUGAUUUCUUGAUUUUU
Sander lucioperca (pikeperch) is the source of this 922-nucleotide long non-coding RNA. RefSeq lists it as uncharacterized. NCBI's taxonomy places the organism in Eukaryota, Metazoa, Chordata, Actinopteri, Perciformes, Percidae. The transcript is spliced from 2 exons. The record is from RefSeq and is a predicted model, not a curated record.